This 192-nucleotide antisense RNA is filed under the name Photobacterium proteolyticum. RNAcentral's name for it is "Yersinia sRNA 276". It matches the Rfam family "Yersinia sRNA 276". The record is from Rfam by way of RNAcentral. Lineage: Bacteria; Pseudomonadati; Pseudomonadota; Gammaproteobacteria; Vibrionales; Vibrionaceae.
CACUGACAUCAUGGCUUCGUUUUUCGAGCCUUGGCCAACCGCCAGGUAAGAUGUCAUACCCAGCUCUUUCAUUUCUUGCUCACCGAUGAUCUUGGUGCUGACUGUUUCAAAGUCAUCCGCCAGGCGGCGUGCCUGGGAAGCCAGAUAGGCAGGGUUUGCCACAUUUGGUGGCAUAUUGCCAAGAUCUUUACC